UAGAGUUUGAUCCUGGCUCAGAUUGAACGCUGGCGGCAUGCCUUACACAUGCAAGUCGGACGGCAGCGCGGGAGCAAUCCUGGCGGCGAGUGGCGAACGGGUGUGUAAUACAUCGGAACAUGUCCAGUAGUGGGGGAUAGCCCGGCGAAAGCCGGAUUAAUACCGCAUACGAUCUAUGGAUGAAAGCGGGGGAUCGCAAGACCUCGCGCUAUUGGGGUGGCCGAUGGCGGAUUAGCUAGUUGGUGGGGUAAAGGCCUACCAAGGCGACGAUCCGUAGCUGGUCUGAGAGGACGACCAGCCACACUGGGACUGAGACACGGCCCAGACUCCUACGGGAGGCAGCAGUGGGGAAUUUUGGACAAUGGGGGCAACCCUGAUCCAGCAAUGCCGCGUGUGUGAAGAAGGCCUUCGGGUUGUAAAGCACUUUUGUCCGGGAAGAAAUCCCCUGCCCUAAUACGGCGGGGGGAUGACGGUACCGGAAGAAUAAGCACCGGCUAACUACGUGCCAGCAGCCGCGGUA
This 520-nucleotide ribosomal RNA is filed under the name uncultured Burkholderia sp. RNAcentral's name for it is "bacterial SSU rRNA". It matches the Rfam family "Bacterial small subunit ribosomal RNA", at positions 1 to 522 of the family's 1533-position model. The record is from RNAcentral. Lineage: Bacteria; Pseudomonadati; Pseudomonadota; Betaproteobacteria; Burkholderiales; Burkholderiaceae.